AAACCAAUCAAACUAUAUAGAACCAACUAACAUUUUGUUUAUUAAUCUGAAUACCCUGAAAUUUUAUGAUUUAGUUGAAUAUAAAAUGGCACAGAUAAUGUAUAAAGCACAAAAUAACUUGCUUUGCCCCAGUACUCAGAAGCUGUUCAAAGUCAGAGAGAGUCAAUAUGACUUAAGGGGAACAGAUUUCUUAAAAAAAAACAAGAUAAGGACAAAUAUAAAGCAGAGAUGUGUUUCUGUUAGAGGAGUUAACCUGUGGAAUAGUUAUGACAGCGAUUUAAAAAGGUGUAGUUCAUUUUCCUUGUUUAAAAAUAUGUUUAAAAAUAGAGUAUUAGAAAAAUAUAUAUAUCAAGAAUGAAAAGAGCAAAAAAAAAAAAAAACCCAAAAAAACCUCUUGAUUCUUUUGCUUUGAUGUAGUUACUUAUCUAAGGUGGAAAGUUUUUUUUUCUUUUUUUCUUGUUUGUUUGUUUGUUUGUUUGUUUGUUUUUUUGCUUUGGUUUAUUAUUUGCUUUGAGCCCUGUGUACAGGAGCUGCAUGCAAAACGAUCUUUUGUUAAAAGGGUUGGCGUAAUAAGCAAAUGCUUCAGCCAAUACCUUUUGAUUAGCCUUGUCUCAUGCUUUCUUGCUUUGUGUUAGAUCUUUGUUCUGUCUUCACUGAGAUAUUUGAAUGCUAAUCAAUCAAAUCAAAUCAAAAUAUAGAUUUUGACAGAAAACCAUAGAGGCCUGUAAAAACUCUUUUUACAUGACUUGUGUUUUAUUUAUUUUAUAUAUUCAUUUAUUCUAGAGUAAAGGUUGGUUUUUAGUCUUUGUUCGACUUCUGAAUUCUCUCUCAAUUCCUUUUGUAUUCUUUACAAGUAAGUAUUCUUCUUAUUUUUAGACUUUUUUACUUUUGAUUCCAAGAAUCCUGAGUUUACUUUUGAUUAUUAUGGUGAUGGGUGUCAGUUAUGCAAAUCAGUGUUUUGGUGUAUUUUAUUGGUAGUAGUUUUAAUUUCCUGCUUUCCUGUCUGUUCCUCCCUCUGUUUUGUCUUUCAUUUCAGACCUGUUCUAGUUUUUCUGUCCAGCCUAUUCUCUUUUUAGUAUUUUUUUUUAGUUUUUUUUUUCCUGUUUUACUUUGAAGGUUUGUUCUCUUCAAAGCCUUGUGUCAAUUUUACUUCCUCCUUUGGGAUCCUCUUGAUUAGUCGUGUCCAAAUUCAUGGGCUGCAUCCUCCUGAGGACCCGCCCUUCACGGUCUACGUGGGCCGGGUCCUCAGAAGGUUGGGUAGGCCGGAAGUAAACGGCCUUCUGAUUAGCGUCACCGCUGUCUCGGUGGACUUUAAUAAACUCGGCCAUCUGCUCCUUGCUAUCUAAAAUAUAACAGGACACUGGCAUAAAUUCUCGACUAUCUCACACUUCUGUUUAAUCAGUUUUCUGUUUGACGUUUAUUAAGCUGUGUGAAAACCAAGGAGGAACCCACCCAGAGGAUUAAUAAAGUUUUAUUUAAUUUAAUCUAAUCUAAUAACUUUAAUCUCAGCCAAACCGAUUUACUCACGGACAAGUAAAACACUGAAAAAAGACAAACAAUAACAUUUUUAGGUUGUCUAAGUGACUUAUAUAUAACGUUUAACCUGAGUAGCAAAAGUACACGGUGAUCGUAGUUGUGCCGUUCUCGGCGGCUUCAAUGACCCUCAAGCUCCCGGCUAGCUAUCGAGCUCGUGGAUAACAGACGUCUCCGAAAACGUCGAAGCGCUUUUGAAAAUAUGCGAUGUCUUAAUAAUCCGAACAGAUAUUUGAAGUUUACACACCAACAUUCUCGCUUGAAAAUAUGUUAAAAGUUUAUUUUGUGAACCAGAAAGAUUAA
Molecule: long non-coding RNA, 1836 nt
Organism: Astatotilapia calliptera (eastern happy)
Lineage: Eukaryota; Metazoa; Chordata; Actinopteri; Cichliformes; Cichlidae
Source: Ensembl